RNAcentral lists this ribosomal RNA (477 nucleotides) under uncultured bacterium. RNAcentral describes it as "partial 16S ribosomal RNA". It matches the Rfam family "Bacterial small subunit ribosomal RNA", at positions 28 to 507 of the family's 1533-position model. The record is from RNAcentral.
GACGAACGCUGGCGGCGUGCUUAACACAUGCAAGUCGAACGGGAUUUAGUAAACAGAAGCCUCGGUGGAAGAUUACUAAUGAGAGUGGCGAACGGGUGAGUAACGCGUGAGCAACCUGCCUAUGACAGUGGGAUAGCCUCGGGAAACCGGGAUUAAUACCGCAUAAAUCGUAGAAACACAUGUUUUAACGGUCAAAGAUUUAUCGGUCAUAGAUGGGCUCGCGUCUGAUUAGCUAGUUGGUGAGAUAACAGCCCACCAAGGCGACGAUCAGUAGCCGGUCUGAGAGGAUGAACGGCCACAUUGGAACUGAGACACGGUCCAAACUCCUACGGGAAGCAGCAGUGGGGAAUAUUGCACAAUGGGGGAAACCCUGAUGCAGCGACGCCGCGUGAACGAAGAAGGUAUUCGUAUCGUAAAGUUCUGUCCUAUGGGAAGAUAAUGACAGUACCAUAGAAGAAAGCUCCGGCUAAAUACGUG